AUGAACCCUAUCGGCAGGCUUAAUACAUGCAAGUUGUACGGGAUUUCGGGUAGCAAUACCUGGAUGAGAGUAGCGCACGGGUGCGUAACGCGUAUGCAACCUACCUUUAACCGGGACACAACCAUGAGAAAUUGUGGCUAAUAUCCCAUAACACUGCGAUGUGGCAUCACAAUGCAGUUAAAGCUCCGGCGGUUAUAGAUGGGCAUGCGUGACAUUAGCUAGUUGGUGAGGUAACGGCUCACCAAGGCUACGAUGUCUAGGGGUUCUGAGAGGAUUAUCCCCCACACUGGUACUGAGACACGGACCAGACUCCUACGGGAGGCAGCAGUAAGGAAUAUUGGGCAAUGGACGCAAGUCUGACCCAGCCAUGCCGCGUGAAGGAUGAAGGCCCUAUGGGUUGUAAACUUCUUUUAUACGGGAAAAAACCACCGGUCGUGUAUCGGUGCUGAUGGUACCGUAAGAAUAAGCAUCGGCUAACUCCGUGCCAGCAGCCGCGGUAAUACGGAGGAUGCAAGCGUUAUCCGGAUUCAUUGGGUUUAAAGGGUGCGCAGGCGGAUUAAUAAGUCAGUGGUGAAAUCCUACGGCUCAACUGUAGAACUGCCAUUGAUACUGUUAGUCUUGAGUAUUGUUGAGGUAGGCGGAAUGUGUCAUGUAGCGGUGAAAUGCUUAGAUAUGACACAGAACACCAAUCGCGAAGGCAGCUUACCAAGCAAUAACUGACGCUCAUGCACGAAAGCGUGGGGAUCAAACAGGAUUAGAUACCCUGGUAGUCCACGCUGUAAACGAUGAACACUCGAUGUUGGCGAUACACAGUCAGCGUCUGAGCGAAAGUAUUAAGUGUUCCACCUGGGGAGUACGGUCGCAAGAUUG
RNAcentral lists this ribosomal RNA (870 nucleotides) under uncultured anaerobic bacterium. RNAcentral's name for it is "bacterial SSU rRNA". It matches the Rfam family "Bacterial small subunit ribosomal RNA", at positions 29 to 896 of the family's 1533-position model. The record is from RNAcentral.